GACGAACGCUGGCGGCGUGCUUAACACAUGCAAGUCGAACGGAAAGGCCCUGCUUUUGUGGGGUGCUCGAGCGGCGAACGGGUGAGUAACACGUGAGUAACCUGCCCUUGACUUUGGGAUAACUUCAGGAAACUGGGGCUAAUACCGGAUAGGAGCUCCUGCUGCAUGGUGGGGGUUGGAAAGUUUCGGCGGUUGGGGAUGGACUCGCGGCUUAUCAGCUUGUUGGUGGGGUAGUGGCUUACCAAGGCUUUGACGGGUAGCCGGCCUGAGAGGGUGACCGGCCACAUUGGGACUGAGAUACGGCCCAGACUCCUACGGGAGGCAGCAGUGGGGAAUAUUGCACAAUGGGCGGAAGCCUAAUGCAGCAACGCCGCGUGCGGGAUGACGGCCUUCGGGUUGUAAACCGCUUUCGCCUGUGACGAAGCGUGAGUGACGGUAAUGGGUAAAGAAGCACCGGCUAACUACGUG
Molecule: ribosomal RNA, 468 nt
Filed under: uncultured bacterium
Lineage: Bacteria
Description: partial 16S ribosomal RNA
Rfam family: Bacterial small subunit ribosomal RNA
Source: RNAcentral